CGCCCAACAGCUAGCCCCCUCCAUCACCUCCAAACCAACCCUAUUUAUACCCCCAAAUACACUACCCCUUGACAACAAACCAUUUUUUUCACCUAAGUACGGGCGACGAAAAAGGACCUAAGAGCAACAGAGAAAGUACCGCARGGGAAAGCUGAAAGAGUAAUGAAAUAAUCCAGUAAAGCACUAAAAAGCAGAGACCACCCCUCGUACCUUUUGCAUCAUGAUUUAGCCAGAAAACCUCAAGCAAAAAGCAUUAUAGUUUGAUACCCCGAAACUAAGCGAGCUACUCCAAGACAGUCUAGUUUAUAGGACCACCCCGUCUCUGUGGCAAAAGAGUGGGAAGAGCUUCGAGUAGAGGUGACAGACCUACCGAGCCUAGUUAUAGCUGGUUGCCUGAGAACUGAAUAGAAGUUCAGCCCUUUAAAUUCUCCAUUCCUAUUGGCCCAACGCCUUCACACAGAACAAAAGAAAUUUUAAAGGAGUUAGUCAAAGGGGGUACAGCCCCUUUGAAACAAGAUACAACUUUCCAAGGAGGAUAAAAAUCACAAUAAACUUAAAGGAUAGAUGUUCUAGUGGGCCUAAAAGCAGCCACCUACCCAGAAAGCGUUAAAGCUCCAACAUUUCCUACAACCUUCUAAUAAAGACAACAUAAUUUUACCCCCCUAAACCUACCAGGCCGUUCCAUAACAUUAUGGAAGCGUUUAUGCUAAUAUGAGUAAUAAGAGAACCCCUCUCUCCCCGCACAAGUGUAAAUCGGAACGAACCCCUCACCGACCAUUAACGACCCCAAAACAAAGAGGGCCCUAGGCAAAAAAUAAAUAACUAGAAAAACCCCUAGCCCCCCACCGUUAACCCCACACUGGUGUGCAACCCAGGAAAGACUAAAAGAAAAAGAAGGAACUCGGCAAACACAAGCCUCGCCUGUUUACCAAAAACAUCGCCUCUUGAACCCCUAUAUAUAAGAGGUCCCGCCUGCCCUGUGACUAUAA
This 989-nucleotide ribosomal RNA is filed under the name Eretmodus cyanostictus (Tanganyika clown). RNAcentral describes it as "partial 16S ribosomal RNA". The stretch from base 194 to 711 matches the Rfam family "Bacterial large subunit ribosomal RNA", at positions 573 to 1302 of the family's 2925-position model. Lineage: Eukaryota; Metazoa; Chordata; Actinopteri; Cichliformes; Cichlidae. The record is from RNAcentral.